GGAGAAAUACUUAGGAAUCUACCUAGUAGUGGGGGAUAGCUCGGGGAAACUCGAAUUAAUACCGCAUACGACCUACGGGAGAAAGGGGGCAACUUGUUGCUCUCGCUAUUAGAUGAGCCUAAGUCGGAUUAGCUAGAUGGUGGGGUAAAGGCCUACCAUGGCGACGAUCUGUAGCUGGUCUGAGAGGAUGAUCAGCCACACCGGGACUGAGACACGGCCCGGACUCCUACGGGAGGCAGCAGUGGGGAAUAUUGGACAAUGGGGGAAACCCUGAUCCAGCCAUGCCGCGUGUGUGAAGAAGGCCUUUUGGUUGUAAAGCACUUUAAGCAGUGAAGAAGACUCUUCGGUUAAUACCCGGAGACGAUGACAUUAGCUGCAGAAAUAAGCACCGGCUAACUCUGUGCCAGCAGCCGCGGUAAUACAGAGGGUGNAAGCGUUAAUCGGAAUUACUGGGCGUAAAGCGAGCGUAGGUGGCUUGAUAAGUCAGAUGUGAAAUCCCCGGGCUUAACCUGGGAACUGCAUCUGAUACUGUCAGGCUAGAGUAGGUGAGAGGAAGGUAGAAUUCCAGGUGUAGCGGUGAAAUGCGUANAGAUCUGGAGGAAUACC
Molecule: ribosomal RNA, 606 nt
Filed under: Psychrobacter sp. MSSRF.17
Lineage: Bacteria; Pseudomonadati; Pseudomonadota; Gammaproteobacteria; Moraxellales; Moraxellaceae
Description: bacterial SSU rRNA
Rfam family: Bacterial small subunit ribosomal RNA
Source: RNAcentral